GGAAUCUUCCACAAUGGACGCAAGUCUGAUGGAGCAACGCCGCGUGAGUGAAGAAGGUUUUCGGACCGUAAAGCUCUGUUGUUGGUGAAGAAGGAUAGAGGUAGUAACUGGCCUUUAUUUGACGGUAAUCAACCAGAAAGUCACGGCUAACUACGUGCCAGCAGCCGCGGUAAUACGUAGGUGGCAAGCGUUGUCCGGAUUUAUUGGGCGUAAAGCGAGCGCAGGCGGAAGAAUAAGUCUGAUGUGAAAGCCCUCGGCUUAACCGAGGAAUUGCAUCGGAAACUGUUUUCUUGAGUGCAGAAGAGGAGAGUAGAACUCCAUGUGUAGCGGUGGAAUGCGUAGAUAUAUGGAAGAAUACCAGUGGCGAAGGCGGCUCUCUGGUCUGCAACUGACGCUGAGGCUCGAAAGCAUGGGUAGCGAACAGGAUUAGAUACCCUGGUAGUCCAUGCCGUAAACGAUGAGUGCUAAGUGUUGGGAGGCUUCCGCCUCUCAGUGCUGCAGCUAACGCAUUAAGCACUCCGCCUGGGGGAGUACGACCGCAAGGUUGAAAC
This 551-nucleotide ribosomal RNA is filed under the name uncultured bacterium. RNAcentral describes it as "partial 16S ribosomal RNA". It matches the Rfam family "Bacterial small subunit ribosomal RNA", at positions 358 to 900 of the family's 1533-position model. The record is from RNAcentral.